CCGGCGACCGGCGGACGGGUGCGUAACGCGUAUGUAACCUACCUUUGACAGGGGGAUAACAUCGAGAAAUUGGUACUAAUACCCCAUAACAUCACCGGAGGCAUCUUCGGUGGUUGAAAACUCAGGUGGUCAGAGAUGGACAUGCGUUGUAUUAGCUAGUUGGUGAGGUAACGGCUCACCAAGGCGACGAUACAUAGGGGGACUGAGAGGUCAACCCCCCACCAUUGGUACUGAGACACGGACCAAACUCCUACGGAAGGCAGCAG
RNAcentral lists this ribosomal RNA (266 nucleotides) under uncultured bacterium. Its description in RNAcentral is "partial 16S ribosomal RNA". It matches the Rfam family "Bacterial small subunit ribosomal RNA", at positions 88 to 354 of the family's 1533-position model. The record is from RNAcentral.